AUGGACUCCAUGGUCUGGAAAAUGUGGGCGCCCCCAAAGGUCAAAUUCUUCUCUUGGCUGGCCUUACAAGAUCGGAUCUGGACCGCCGACAGGCUAGAGCGACGUGGCUGGGACAAUUGCAGUCUUUGCCCGCUCUGUAAACAGGUGCAGGAGUCGGGCGUCCACCUAUUCGCCAAAUGUCGCUUCACCUUGAGGCUUUGGCGGAUGUUCAUUGACAAGUAUGGGCUCGCGCAUCUGGACCCUUCUGACUGGCACCUUGAGGAUUCCCUCCUCUCUUGGUGGGACAAGCGCACCAAUUCGAGCAUUCCAAAUCGUCGAGCCAUGGCCUCCCUUACCAUGCUCGUAUCUUGGACAAUUUGGAACGAAAGGAACGCUAGAGUCUUCCGCCACAAAGAGACGCCACCACCAAUCCUUCUCAAGCUUAUUAUAGAUGAGGCCAACCUAUGGGUUACUGCAGGGGCUAAACAAUUAGGGAAAAUUGUAUCACGCGAGUAA
Molecule: ribosomal RNA, 495 nt
Filed under: Triticum aestivum (bread wheat)
Lineage: Eukaryota; Viridiplantae; Streptophyta; Magnoliopsida; Poales; Poaceae
Description: partial small subunit ribosomal RNA
Source: RNAcentral